ACAAAUAUAUAUAUAUAUAUAUAUAUAUUUAUGGAUGAUAGCUCACAACACCUUUGAGCGAACAGCCCUGGAGCGAAGAAAAUGGAGAUCGUUGUGUCAAAAUGGUAUUAGAAACUUUGUUGCAACCAGCAUUAACGGGUUUCAGAUUGCAAUGCAAAGGAGAAAAGCAGCUGCAAAUAUACCACCUGCACUGACCUGUAAUCCUUAUACUUGCA
This is a long non-coding RNA of Octopus sinensis (East Asian common octopus), 215 nucleotides long. RefSeq lists it as uncharacterized. The transcript has 3 exons. The record is from RefSeq and is a predicted model, not a curated record. Lineage: Eukaryota; Metazoa; Mollusca; Cephalopoda; Octopoda; Octopodidae.